CGAUAGUAUGUAUAUAUGGAUGAAUUAAAUUUGCAACCGUUUGUUUAGGGACGUAUCUUCACGGCCUACAGCUUUUUUGGCUAUGCAUGAGUUGGAGGAGAGCUCUUAGCCCGCAGAAAAGUCUUAAAAAACGAGGGGGAAAAAGUCACUUUUCUGGAGUUUAUAUUCUCUGCAGAAGCGUACUUCGUUCCAGUAUUACUUAGCUUAACGUAAGAAGAGGGGGAAAAGUCUUCAAACAUAUAUAACUUUGUUCGAUGUGAAUCAAUUCUAAUUUUGCGAAACGAGUGUCUAAAAUUCAUAUAUCCAUUAAAAAAAUAAUAAUUUGGAAGUGUGACACAACAAUACAUUGUUACGCUAUGGAACAAACAUUAACCCUGGGUGAUGGAAGUCGCGUUAGCUGUGAAAGCAAGAAAUGGAGAUCGAAGAGAUACUACUCGGACGAUAUGGAAGGAAGCGUGAUGGAAAUUUAUCGUAUUUUCUUUCCUAAAUCAAGUACUGGCUGAAAACACUAUAACAAAGUGAACGUCUUCUUGGGAUGGCCCAUUCUUCGCUAGAAAUGCUAUAAGAAGAAGAUGGUGAGGAAAUGAUAGAUUUUCUGCUCGACCUUUUUGAGCUGUCAGCGAAUUUUCAACUUCAAAUUAUUCGAUAGGUACUUCCACCUGGAGGAUAAUACUCGUUCUCCUUGAACGUAUAACACGUAUCUAGAAAAGUUCGCACAAGAAAGGUGAAGAAAUCGACGUCUUUAAUUGUGGUUUUUCUACUCAAAAAUUGGGUUCCUUUUCCUCAAAGAAGAAUGAUGCAUUUAAAUUCUUUCGCACAUAAUAUGUAAUAACAGAUGUAUUUAUAUAAACGCGUUUAUAUAUGA
Molecule: long non-coding RNA, 865 nt
Organism: Vespula pensylvanica (western yellowjacket)
Lineage: Eukaryota; Metazoa; Arthropoda; Insecta; Hymenoptera; Vespidae
Exons: 4
Source: RefSeq, a predicted model, not a curated record